AUUUUAAGCUUUCAUGGUAGUCCAUGUAAAAUAUUAAUCUUCAUUACUAUAUAAAUUUCCAACAGUGACAGGAAAAUCUAGCUCACGUAUGCAUUUCCACCAACAUUCAUCCUAUCAACUUUCGAUGGUAGGAUAGUGGCCUAACAUGGUGAUGGGUGACGGAGAAUUAAGGUUUGAUUUCGGAGAGGGAGCCUGAGAAACGGCUACCACAUCCAAGGAAGGUAACAGGUGCGCAAAUUAUCCAAUCCUGACACGGGAAGGUAGUGACAAUAAAUAGCAAUAUCGGGCUCGAUCAAGUCUCGUAAUGGGAAUGAGUACAAUCUAAAUCUCUUAUCAAGAUCCAUUGGAGGACAAGUCCAGUGCCAGCAGUCGUGGUAAUUCCAGCUCCAAUAACGUAUAU
This 400-nucleotide non-coding RNA is filed under the name Ipomoea nil (Japanese morning glory). Its description in RNAcentral is "Eukaryotic small subunit ribosomal RNA". It matches the Rfam family "Eukaryotic small subunit ribosomal RNA", at positions 196 to 604 of the family's 1831-position model. The record is from Rfam by way of RNAcentral. Lineage: Eukaryota; Viridiplantae; Streptophyta; Magnoliopsida; Solanales; Convolvulaceae.